RNAcentral lists this long non-coding RNA (522 nucleotides) under Phasianus colchicus (ring-necked pheasant). RNAcentral's name for it is "lncRNA (ENSPCLG00000010456.1)". Lineage: Eukaryota; Metazoa; Chordata; Aves; Galliformes; Phasianidae. The record is from RNAcentral.
GGGAAGGAAGAAAAGCAUCACUUGCAACCUACUGCAAAGCACAAAACAGCUAGCUGUGUAUUAUAUAUCUGAAACUUCAUGUAGAAGAAGAAAAUUAGAUACAAAUACCUUAACCACAGUACAGAAAAAAACUAUGUUUGAAAUAUGGCCACAUAGAAACUGACCACAACUUCAUGACAAGGGUUUUGUCAGGGGGAAGUGCACGUACAGUAGAGAUGACAGCAGGGGGAAAACAUACAAGGACAGUUGAGGCAAGCAGUGCAGAGCAGAGGAGUUCAGCCAAACUGAAGCUCAAUGUCCAGUUUCUGAACCAGCACUGACCUUGCAGGAAGAGUUCAGUUUCAUCCAAAAAACUCAAUGUGGAGAAGAAUUCGCCAUCACUUUCAGCUGGUCUGCUCCUAUUAAAAAUUAACAUUUUCAGCAUCUUGAUUGUUUCCUUUUGGCUUCUACAGUUUUCUGUUUCCAGAUAUGGAUUGGCAGGGCAAAUUUCAAUAAACAAGGGAAAAAUAAUUGUGGAAGUCA